Long non-coding RNA from Populus trichocarpa (black cottonwood), 1105 nucleotides. RefSeq lists it as uncharacterized. The transcript is spliced from 2 exons. NCBI's taxonomy places the organism in Eukaryota, Viridiplantae, Streptophyta, Magnoliopsida, Malpighiales, Salicaceae. The record is from RefSeq and is a predicted model, not a curated record.
UGGUUCUAGUCUUUUUGCUUGUCAGAGGACGGUACUACUGAAAAGCAAUAUUAUGGUUAGAAUCAUCGUUAUAGCCUUUAUAUGUUAUCAUUGCAUGUUUGUAUCUAAAUGAAGGAUUUCUGGUGAUUCCAAUCAUCUGAUCGACAAAGGAUUUAGUCUUGCUAUUGGACUAAUUAUCUAGCACGUACAAUCUCUGCUUUGCUUGAGACAUCAGAUCCCUCGAAAGGUCGUAAUGGAUUUGAACUGGUUUUGAGCCUUUAGAGUAUAAUUCACCCUUUCCCCCCUUCCUGAGUUGCAUCUUGGCUUAACUCGGUAACAAGAAAUGCCAGAGCUUUGUGACUGAGUUACAGAGGCAUGGGAUCUCUAUAAUCUUCAAAAGUCGGAGGAGUGAUUUUACGAAGAUGGAGCAGAUGAAUCAGAAAGGUACUUAGACUAGUAUUACCUUUGAGAUUCACCAUAAUUUAUCGUGUUAUGGAAACAACUGACAAGUACUAAAUAUUGAUCCUAAUUAAAAUCGAUAUAAAGAAGAAGAGGCUAGAGAGAAAGCAAGAGAAGAUCCUCCAAGUCGUAUUGCAGAUUAUCGGUUGAAUGAUUAAUCACUUCCUGCUGGUGAGAGAUGGUUGAAGGAGAAAACUCUGAACGAUGGUUGAAAGAGAAAACUCAACAGCAGGACUCGUUACUGAAAAUGUUGAUCCAGUGCUGUGGUCAAGCAAAAUUAAGAGAAAAACAGAGGGUUUUGAUGCGUACUGUUCUCAUAUCCUUUGACUUGCAAAAUAUAAUAUUGUGUUAAAGAUUAUUUCUGCUCGAUAAUUUGAUCUCUGGUGGAGGAUCCUCCUUCGAAGUUUGAUCUUGUCGAAUGAUCAUAAGGUCAAAAAUAUACGACAGCAUUUUGUGCAUGAAGUGGUGAUUGAAUAUUUAUGUGGAAGAUUUUAGCUAAAUGGCCGAGCAAUAUCUCACUCAAUUGUUAGAAUGAGGUUCGAAUACUAAAAUGAAUGUCAAGAUUUUAGCUAAAUGGCCGAGCAAUAUCAUUUAGCUAAAAAUUGAUCACAUGUUUCUAACAAUUGGAAAAAUUUAUCACAUGAAUGUCGUGCUUUGAAUUCUACAA